CUAUUCUGCUCUUGAAUGGUAGAGUUCGCAACAUAAUUAUUCAAAAAUUUUUAAAAAUAUGUUUCCCUUUAAUGUUUUUAGAUCUUAAGCUUGUAAUGAUAUAUUUGUUCAAGAUAUGAACAUGGACAAAACUUGAAAUUUUCAGUCAAAUGAAAAGAAAAACAGGCCAUAAUGCUUUGAAAAAUAAGCACUUUUUAAUAUGACAGAUAAGAAACACACUCAUGAUUUUGCUGCUUGCAACGUUGGAAAACGUAAACACGUUGCAUUGACGGUAAUCCAAAAAGUGGAAAUUCUGUAAAAGAUGGAGGCAGGUGCUACUCCUCGGUUUAUAGCAGAAUCGUAUGGAAUUGCAACAUGGACUGUGUAUGAUAUAUGGAAAAAUAAAGGAAAGCUGUUGAAAUUUAACAGCAACACUGAUUCUAGCACCGGAAUCCAAAACCGGAAAUCUUUACAUGAGGGGAAAUCGGCAAACCUUGAUGCUGUCUUGUACGAGUGGUUCCGGCAGUGGCGGAGUGAUGGGGUACCAAUUUCAGGACUGCUCCUCAGAGAAAAGAGGAAGUAGAUUCUUUCUGAUUUAAAAAUGGAGAAGCCUAAUAUAAAUAUAUAAUAUAUCAAUUUAUAUACGUAAUAAUAAUUUAAGGCAUAUAAUAAAUUAUUGUAAUAAUGUGUAUAAUAAUUUAAUUCAAUGUAUAUAAUACACCUUAUUUAUUUUGCACUUUUAGUCUGAAUAUUAUCUUUUCUGUCCUGAAAUCUGCAAAAUUCUAAAAUCCUCACAACCUUGGUCCCAGGCUCUGCAGAUUUCUGGACUUCUACUGUAUUUACUUAUUGUCUAACCAUCAAAUGUGCAAAGAGCCAUAUAAAAAUUUUGCAAGCAGCUUGUCAGCCAAAUGUCAGAUGUUUAUAUCACACAUGUAUUAUUUAUAUUAAUUAUAUAUGAAAGAAAAAAUAUUAACUUUUAAUUUGCGAUAACCAUUAGUUUUCUUUUUAAUUUCAUUAUUUGCAUUCUAAAAAUAAUAAAUUGUGAAUAUUUCGGAAAUGUGUUAUUUCUGAAUAAAUCCCUGUCAUACAGAUCUUUUAUAACGCAAAUGACACGUGUAUUUGCGCAAUGGCAAAAGUGAAAAUAAUAUAUUUUAUCUAAUCAUAAUCAGAUCAUUUUUAGAAAAAUGCUAAUUAAGUCUGUAGUCUGCCACACUUGUUUAUUUCAUGUAGUCUGCCACUUCUGUUUAUUUCAAUGUAAAAAGUAUAUUUUAGCUAAUGAUAUAAAUGGCACCUUAGCAGAAAUAUGUUUACUUCAGUAAUGCUAUUAUAAAAUAAAGAGCUGCAUAAACUGACCAUGACUAUAUUUUUUUUUUUUUUUUUCUUGUAAUAGUGAAUCUGCUUCAUUAUCAUUUACAUCAGACCCAAAUUUUUCAUGUGAUAUGUAUUAGAUGUGCAUAGUAUAUAUGCAUAUGUGUACACAUGCAUACAUUGUGUACAUAUGUAUUACAUAUACAUAUAUAUUUAUGUAUAUAAUGAAGAAAAUUACUAACAAAUUACAAACUUAAUUUUCAAUGCCAUUAUAAUUCUUGCUUUUAUUUGCCUACCUCCCCCUUUGCUGUACUGCAUCUCUGAUAUCAUUUAUUCUUCUGCAGUAAUCUGCAGUGCUGUAAGUUCUUGCCCAAUCAUUGUUCAGGAUUCAAACAAAGGGAUUCUAAGCUUAUUUAUAGCAAGGCUGUGUAGUUGGAGUUAGACAGAUUUUUGGGUAAAAGGAGUUGGAGCUAGAAACUAAAAGGAGUUGUUACUAGAAACAUGUUGACUCUAAAUCCAGUUUUGUUAGACAGUUUGAAAUUGAAAUGAAAUUAAAGUGAAGUGAAAGAAAAUGACAUUUAGUUAUUUUCUAUUCUAUUGACAUAUUAAUAAAUAAAAUAUAAGAGAGGAGGAUGGAUGUGAUAUUUGCCAUUAUUCAUUAACCUGAUUCAUUUAGUCACUUCUUCAACUCAUAGAUGGUAUUAUUGUAGCAUAAUUCACAACAAGAAAAAGGAGCCCAUGGCUGCAAGAUGCAUAUUGAGUCACCUAAUUUGAAACUCAAAAGCAUCUAAUAUGGUUAGAACAAAUGCAGAUAAUGAAGAAAUUGUUACAAUAGAUGAAAAAAGGACUGAUUUAGAUAUCAAAACUUCUCAAGAGUAUUCAUAUUAGAUGAUGUUGCUGAAAAGGAACAAAACUCUGUCAAAUCAAGGAAAUGCAUUGUGCAGUCCAAGCUUGCUGUUAGAGAUGGGUUGAAGGAUACAUUGUGUACAUGCAUACAUUGUGAGAUGGGUUGAAGGAUAUAUAGGUAAAUGUAGGCAAGCAGCAAUAGCAGCAAGAAUUCCCAAAAUUAAUGCCAUUCUUAGGAAGCAAAUAGGAAAAGGAAGAAUUUAUUGAUCAAGUUACAUGAUGGGGAAGUACAUAUUUGAUGAUAAAGAGGUUGUUAGAUUAAGAACUUUGUAGAAGAUGUAGAUAACCCCAAUGUUUCACUAACAGAAAGACUGUGGAAUGAUCUUACAGAAUUGGAAA
Molecule: unclassified non-coding RNA, 2532 nt
Filed under: Stegodyphus dumicola
Lineage: Eukaryota; Metazoa; Arthropoda; Arachnida; Araneae; Eresidae
Description: tigger transposable element-derived protein 4-like, transcript variant X2
Source: RNAcentral